Long non-coding RNA from Hypanus sabinus (Atlantic stingray), 2300 nucleotides. RefSeq lists it as uncharacterized. The record is from RefSeq and is a predicted model, not a curated record. The transcript is spliced from 4 exons. NCBI's taxonomy places the organism in Eukaryota, Metazoa, Chordata, Chondrichthyes, Myliobatiformes, Dasyatidae.
AACCUAGUCCAAUGACAGCAUACCUGCUGAACUGGUCUACGGUGUACCAGCAGCCAAUUGAUUUCAUGCCCAUGAAAUUCUGCCAGCUAUGUGUCAGAUUGUGUACUAGCUUUGCUCUGACUGAGCACUAACUCUGCAAAACAAAUUGUGGAAUUAAAAUGGUUGGCCAACAGGAAAUUCUGCUUUUGGCAGAUGGAGCGGAGGUGCUCGACAAAGCGGUGGGGAGGAUGAAUUUCAGGGUUGUAUACUACAUACAAACUUUGAUGCUGCCUGACCUGCUGAGUUCCUCCGGCAUUUUGCGUGUGAAGCUCUGGAUUUCCAGCAUCUCAAGAAUUUCUUGUGUUUAACAUCAACAACGUUCCAUUGCAACACCAACAAGAGAAGAUCUGCAGAUGCUGGAGAUCUAAGGAAUACACACAAAAUGCUGGAGGAACUCAGCAGGCCAGGCAGCAUCUAUGAAAAAUAUCACACAGUCAACCUUUCAGGCCAAGACCCUUCAUCAGGACUGGAAAAAGAAAUUAGAAGUCAGAGUAAGAAGGUGGGGGAGGAGAGGAAGAAGUUCAGCAUAGUAGGUGAUGGAAAUCCAGGAGAGGGGGUGAAUUAAAGAGCCAGGAGAUCAAUUGGCGAAAGAGAAAGAGCUGGAGAAGGGAGAAUCUGUUAGGACAAAAGGCCAUGGAAGAAAAGGAAGGGAGAUGAGCACCAGAGGGAGGUUUUGGGCAGGUAAGGAGGUAAGGUGAGAGAGGGAAAUUGGAAUGGGGAAUAGUGAAUUGGGGGGGGGGGGGGUGGAGGGCAAUUACCGGAAGUUUAAAAAAAUCAAUGUUCCUGCCAUUAGGUCGGAGGCUACUCAGACAGGAUAUAAGGUGUUGUUCCUCCAAACUGCUUGUGGCCUCAUCACAGAGGAGGCCAUGGACUGACAUGUCAGAAUGGGAAUGAGAAGUAGAAUUGAAAUGUGCGGCUACCAGGAGAUCCCACUUUUUCUGCUGGGCAGAGCAGAGGUGCUUGGCGAAAUGGUCUCCCAAUCUACACUGGGUCUGACUGAUGUACUGGAAGCCACACUGGGAGCACUGGAUACAGGAGAUGACACCAACAGACUCGCAGAUGAAGUGCCACCUCACCUGGAAGGAUUGUUCGGGGCCCUGAAUGGCAGCGAGAGGGGAGGUGUAGAGGCUGCUAUAGCACUUGAAGUCAUAAAGAAUUGUUUGCUGGACACAGAGGCUGAUCAGGUGGUAGGUGAGGAUGAGGAGCCCUCUCCCUGGUGGGUUGGCUGAAGGAUGCAGUGAGGGCAGACAUGCGUGAAUGGAAGAGAUGCGGGUGGGAGCAGCACUGAUGGUGGAGGAAGGAAACUCUUAUUUUUGAAGAAGGCAGACAUCUUAUUAGUUCUGGCAUGAAAAGCCUUAUCCUAAGAGGAGAUGUGGUGGAGAAGGAGGAAUUAAGAUAAUGUAGUCAUUGAUAUAGUGUAGAAAAAGUUGGGGAGUGAUACUGGUGUAGGCUUGGAACAUAGACUGCUCCAUGUAGCCGACAAAAGGGCAGACAUAACUGGAAUCCAUGCAAGUGCCCAUGGGUGCACCUUUUGUUUGAAGGAUGUGGAAAAAGCCUGAAGUGAAAUUAUUGAGAGUAAGGACCAGUUCUGCCAGAUGAAGGAGAGUGGUGGUGGAGGGGAAAUGCUUGGGUCUGGUGUCCAGAAAGAAGCAGAGGGCUUUGAGGCCUUCCUGAUGGUGGAUGGAGGCGUAUAGAAACCAAACAUCCAUAGUGAAAAUGAGACGACCAGGGCCAGGAAGCUAAAAGUCAUUGAAAAGAUCAAGAGCAUGUGAAGCAUCAGGGAUGUAGGUAGGAAGGGACUGAAGCAGGGAGGAUAAAACAAAGUCACGUUAUGCAUAUAUGAGUUUGGUGGGGCAGGAACAAGCAGAAAGAAUGGGUCUACCUGGGCAGACAUGUUUAUGGAUCUUGAGAAGGAGUUAGAAAUGGGAGGUGCAGGUUAAGGGGAUUAUGAGGUUGGUGGCAGUGGAUGGGAGAUCCCCAGAGUUAAUAAGGUUUGUGAUGAACCAUUAAAUCUGGGGAUCUCCAUCAGUCACCCUAUGACUCUACAAAUUACCUAUCACUUUGUACUUCUUCCUCUCCUCCCCCCACAUUCUUUAUCUGACUUCUAAUCUCAUUUUGCCAGACCUGAUGAAGGGUCUAGGCCCAAAGCAUUGACUAUUUAUUCUUUUCCAUGGAUGCUGCCUGGCCUGCUGAGUUCCUCCAGCAUUUUGUGUGCAUUGCUUCCAUUUCAACACCAACUGCUUGACUGAAUUCUUCAACAU